GGCGGGACACGUGGUAUCCUGUCUGAAUAUGGGGGGCCCAUCCUCCAAGGCUAAAUACUCCUGACUGACCGAUAGUGAACCAGUACCGUGAGGGAAAGGCGAAAAGAACCCCGGCGAGGGGAGUGAAAAAGAACCUGAAACCGUGUACGUACAAGCAGUGGGAGCACGCUUAGGCGUGUGACUGCGUACCUUUUGUAUAAUGGGUCAGCGACUUAUAUUCUGUAGCAAGGUUAACCGAAUAGGGGAGCCGAAGGGAAACCGAGUCUUAACUGGGCGUUAAGUUGCAGGGUAUAGACCCGAAACCCGGUGAUCUAGCCAUGGGCAGGUUGAAGGUUGGGUAACACUAACUGGAGGACCGAACCGACUAAUGUUGAAAAAUUAGCGGAUGACUUGUGGCUGGGGGUGAAAGGCCAAUCAAACCGGGAGAUAGCUGGUUCUCCCCGAAAGCUAUUUAGGUAGCGCCUCGUGAAUUCAUCUCCGGGGGUAGAGCACUGUUUCGGCAAGGGGGUCAUCCCGACUUACCAACCCGAUGCAAACUGCGAAUACCGGAGAAUGUUAUCACGGG
Molecule: ribosomal RNA, 565 nt
Filed under: Shigella sonnei
Lineage: Bacteria; Pseudomonadati; Pseudomonadota; Gammaproteobacteria; Enterobacterales; Enterobacteriaceae
Description: partial 23S ribosomal RNA
Rfam family: Bacterial large subunit ribosomal RNA
Source: RNAcentral